CUUCUCCCUGAGGCUCAGCUUUAAAACCUGCGGAGGUUUGGGUUGUUCACCUCUGCAGAAAGGAUCUGAGGGAAGGAGCCUAUCCCAAGUUGGGUUAGCGCAGCAGCAAGCCCAGGACUGGCCUGGCCUGCCCGUGCCUGGUGGGACAGGAAGGAGCCAGCUGUCCAUCCUGGGAUCUGGAUGCACCUGGGCAAGGCUCACCUUGGGACAGUGGCGGCAUAGCACAGUGGCUGAGAACAUGAAUUCUGGCCUCCCUGGGCCCAGAGCCUGACUCCACCACUUACCAGCUGGAUGAUGGGGGUCCCAGCACAGGGCCUGGCCACAGUGGGUCCUCACUGACUGUUUGUGGAGUGAUGAUGGGGUCCGGGUGCCCUCUCCCCUGGCCUGCUGUCUCCCGCGGGCCCCUGCAGAGCAAUGCUGUCUCCGUGGCUGAGGCCCUUCCUCCCACAGCCCCGCCUGAGCUCCUUCAAUUUUCCCUGGCAGCUCCCACGUUCUGGACUAACUUUAGGGUUGGUUUCCAGCUGUGGUUGGAUUUUUCUGUUUGAAAAAUAUUUUAAGCAGCUGGUGGGGAAGGGGUGGAGAGGUGGGAAAAGAAUAAUAAAUAAGCUUGUGAAAGGAAGAUUGUCUAAAUGGCUUGGAGCCACCACUGCCUGCAACUUGGUCUCUGGGUCGUGCCCAGGACUGGGGAGCUAUCAGGUGGUUGGGGGUGGGGAGGGGGCACCCUGGUGGCUUCACAGGCUGAGGAGAAAGACUCACCGCCCCUCACAAGCACCUCUUGGACAUGCUUUCACUUUAUGCCCCGCAUGAAUUCUGAAAAUGCAAGAAAUAGACGGGAAAGAGUGGUUCUGCAGCAGCCAGGAUUGAGGUUAGACACUGAAAAAAACUGACUGUCAGAACUAUCCCUGAAGCCCCCCUUUAUUUCACCCAAGACUGAUGUUUCUCCAGAACUCAGCUUCCUUC
RNAcentral lists this long non-coding RNA (960 nucleotides) under Equus caballus (horse). RNAcentral's name for it is "lncRNA (ENSECAG00000051302.1)". Lineage: Eukaryota; Metazoa; Chordata; Mammalia; Perissodactyla; Equidae. The record is from RNAcentral.